Molecule: long non-coding RNA, 917 nt
Organism: Dicentrarchus labrax (European seabass)
Lineage: Eukaryota; Metazoa; Chordata; Actinopteri; Moronidae
Exons: 2
Source: RefSeq, a predicted model, not a curated record
GGUGGAGUGUCAUGGCGGCGCGAGUGUCAUUGCACUAAUCCAAAGCCCUUCGGAGAGAGAGACAGAGAGAGAGACAGAGAGACAGAGAGAGAGAGAGACAGGCAGUGUGGCGGGACCGCUCGCAGUCAUGAAGUUCAAUGACAUAGUGAAGUGGAACAGCAGAGUGUCUGCGCUGUACGCGCUGGGCAUCUGGAGCAUGUUCGGUUCCUACGCUUACUUCAGAUACACAGGGCGGUAUGACUCUGCAGAGAAAAAAGAAGUGGUGCCAAAGCCAGAAACUCAGGAUCAAGUCGUCUAUCAGACACCCCACACCAAGUCUGUCAUCAUCUACAAGAAAGACUUUGUCCCGUACAGCACAAGGAUCUACAAUUUCAUCAGAUCCUUCAGCAGUGAGCCUGGGAGUGGAGAUGCUGGCAAAUAGUUGCAUCAGCAGUGCAAAGGAUGAUGGGACACUGACAUUUUCAAGAGCAUUUCUUAUAAUGCCCUGUGAAUUUUCGCUUUUGUGUGAAGACAUUAUGUUUAUUUGUAAAAUAAUCUCCAGCGCAGUAUCCACCUGUCCAGGUGUGAGGGAGCCGCCAUAAUGGACUGUUCACACGUUAUUUAUAAUUAAAUGUACUACGAGGAGUCUUUAACUGGUUAUGAAACAGUCUCAAUUCAAUACUGAUGCCUUUAUAUGACCUAUGUGAACAAACAUAACCCUCAGCAAGAAGAUUAACUGUGUCUGUAUUGUGAUUCUUAAUGGUCGAUUUGGAUUCCCCUUGAAAUCAAUGAAAUGUGAUGGUAGAAGCACUACCGCUUUUGUCCACAGGGGCCGCCAGAAUCAAUACAGAAGUUCCUUGAGCUUUACCCACGCCUGUCCACAAUAAGCAGUUUCCACAACCACUCAUGAUGUUCAAAUAAACCCAUGUUGUAAUAUA